AUGCUGUGCCCUGCUCAGCUCCUGGGGCUGCUUUUGCUCUGGAUCCCUGGAUGGGCCUGGGAAGUUUAUAUCUGUGAGGGUGUGAUGACACAGACUCCACUCUCCUUGUCUGUUGCCCCUGGAGAGUCGGCCUCCAUCUCCUGCAGGUCUAGCCAGAGCCUCGUAGAUAGUGAUGGAGACACCUUCUUGAAUUGGUACCAACAGAAACCAGGCCAGGCUCCACGGCUCCUGAUCUAUGAGGUUUCUAAGCGAGAAAAUGGGGUCAAACAGAGGUUCAGUGGCAGUGGGUCAGGGACAGAUUUCACACUCGAAAUCAGCAAAGUCAGGCCUGAGGACUUUGGAGUUUAUUACUGUAUGCAAUAUACACAUGAUCCUCCCACAGUGGGAAGCCAAGGGCCACAGUGGAGACAUAGCAGCUAUUGCUUUGUUAAAUACUUCCCAAUAUUUUUGUUUACAACCACAGGUUGUUAUUGCUGA
Molecule: non-coding RNA, 477 nt
Organism: Nannospalax galili (Upper Galilee mountains blind mole rat)
Lineage: Eukaryota; Metazoa; Chordata; Mammalia; Rodentia; Spalacidae
Source: the annotation of a RefSeq genome assembly